This 155-nucleotide non-coding RNA is filed under the name Homo sapiens (human). The record is from Rfam by way of RNAcentral. Lineage: Eukaryota; Metazoa; Chordata; Mammalia; Primates; Hominidae.
GCCGGGCGUGGUGGCGCAUGCCUGUAGUCCCAGCUACUCGGGAGGCUGAGGCAGGAGAAUCGCUUGAACCUGGGAGACAGAGGUUGCAGUGAGCUGAGAUUGUGCCACUGGCCACUGCACUCCAGCCUGGGUGACACAGCAAGACUCCGUCUCAA